UGCAGUCGUACGAGAACACUCUAGCUUGCUAGGGUAAGUAAAGUGGCGCACGGGUGAGUAACGCGUGGGUAAUCUACCUUCGAAUUGGGGAUAACGUUGCGAAAGCGACGCUAAUACCGAAUAACAUCCAUUAAUCUUCGGGUUUUUGGAUCAAGGGUGGCCUCUACAUGUAAGCUACUGUUUGAAGAUAAGCCCGCGUACCAUUAGCUAGUUGGCAGGGUAAUGGCCUACCAAGGCAACGAUGGUUAGCUGGUCUGAGAGGAUGAUCAGCCACACUGGAACUGACACACGGUCCAGACUCCUACGGGAGGCAGCAGUGAGGAAUUUUGCGCAAUGGGGGAAACCCUGACGCAGCAACGCCGCGUGAGUGAUGAAGGCUUUCGGGUCGUAAAGCUCUGUCAAGUGGGAAGAAAUUGUAUUAUACGAAUAGUGUAAUAUAUUGACGGUACCAUUGAAGGAAGCACCGGCUAACUCCGUG
RNAcentral lists this ribosomal RNA (478 nucleotides) under uncultured bacterium. RNAcentral describes it as "bacterial SSU rRNA". It matches the Rfam family "Bacterial small subunit ribosomal RNA", at positions 56 to 507 of the family's 1533-position model. The record is from RNAcentral.